UGGCAGACGGGUGCGUAACGCGUGGGAACUUACCUGGUAGUAGGGGAUAACCAGUGGAAACAUUGGGUAACACCCUAUACGCCCUCCGGGGGAAAAUUUAUUGCUAUCAGAUAGGCCCGCGUUAGAUUAGCUUGUUGGUGAGGUAAUGGCUCACCAAGGCGACGAUCUAUAGCUGGUCUGAGAGGAUGAUCAGCCACACUGGAACUGAGACACGGUCCAGACUCCUACGGGAGGCAGCAGUGAGGAAUAUUGGACAAUGGGCGAAAGCCUGAUCCAGCCAUGCCGCAUGAGUGAUGAAGGCCCUUGGGUUGUAAAGCUCUUAGUGGGGAAGAUAAUGACGGUACCCACAGAAGAAGUCCCGGCUAACUCCGUGCCAGCAGCCGCGGUAAUACGGAGGGGGCUAGCGUUGUUCGGAAUUACUGGGCGUAAAG
RNAcentral lists this ribosomal RNA (431 nucleotides) under uncultured Neorickettsia sp. RNAcentral describes it as "bacterial SSU rRNA". It matches the Rfam family "Bacterial small subunit ribosomal RNA", at positions 96 to 565 of the family's 1533-position model. The record is from RNAcentral. Lineage: Bacteria; Pseudomonadati; Pseudomonadota; Alphaproteobacteria; Rickettsiales; Anaplasmataceae.